This 385-nucleotide ribosomal RNA is filed under the name uncultured bacterium. RNAcentral's name for it is "bacterial SSU rRNA". It matches the Rfam family "Bacterial small subunit ribosomal RNA", at positions 28 to 415 of the family's 1533-position model. The record is from RNAcentral.
GACGAACGCUGGCGGCGUGCUUAACACAUGCAAGUCGAGCGGUAAGGCCCUUUCGGGGGUACACGAGCGGCGAACGGGUGAGUAACACGUGGGUGACCUGCCCUCAGCUCUGGGAUAAGCCUGGGAAACCGGGUCUAAUACUGGAUAUGACUCCAUGACGCAUGUUGUGGGGUGGAAAGCCUUGUGCGGCUGAGGAUGGGCCCGCGGCCUAUCAGCUUGUUGGUGGGGUGAGGCCUACCAAGGCGACGACGGGUAGCCGGCCUGAGAGGGCGACCGGCCACACUGGGACUGAGACACGGCCCAGACUCCUACGGGAGGCAGCAGUGGGGAAUCUUGCGCAAUGGGCGAAAGCCUGACGCAGCGACGCCGCGUGAGGGAUGACGCC